Molecule: long non-coding RNA, 120 nt
Organism: Drosophila willistoni
Lineage: Eukaryota; Metazoa; Arthropoda; Insecta; Diptera; Drosophilidae
Exons: 3
Source: RefSeq, a predicted model, not a curated record
UCUGCGUCAGCCAUUCAACAAUCAUUGAAAUUGCAACAAUAAAACCAAACACCAAUCCAUCAAAAAAGAUCACACAAUUUUAUUUGCACUUGAGAGGGGAACGUGCGUGCAAUUGAAGAG